This 256-nucleotide ribosomal RNA is filed under the name Vibrio parahaemolyticus. RNAcentral's name for it is "partial 23S ribosomal RNA". It matches the Rfam family "Bacterial large subunit ribosomal RNA", at positions 1165 to 1421 of the family's 2925-position model. Lineage: Bacteria; Pseudomonadati; Pseudomonadota; Gammaproteobacteria; Vibrionales; Vibrionaceae. The record is from RNAcentral.
GGAAGAUGUAACGGGGCUAAGUAGUAAACCGAAGCUGCGGCAAUAUACUUUUGUAUAUUGGGUAGGGGAGCGUUCUGUAAGCGGUUGAAGGUGUGUGGUAACGCAUGCUGGACGUAUCAGAAGUGCGAAUGCUGACAUGAGUAACGAUAAAGGGGGUGAAAAACCUCCUCGCCGGAAGACCAAGGGUUCCUGUCCAACGUUAAUCGGGGCAGGGUAAGUCGACCCCUAAGGCGAGGCCGAAAGGCGUAGUCGAUGG